GCGGCGUGCCUAACACAUGCAAGUCGAACGAAGCUUGACGGAUGAUUUCUUCGGAAUGAAACCUGAUAUGACUUAGUGGCGGACGGGUGAGUAACACGUGAGCAACCUGCCUUUCAGAGGGGGAUAACGGCUGGAAACGGUCGCUAAUACCGCAUGAUGUGUUCGGAUGGCAUCAUCUGAACAUCAAAGAUUUAUCGCUGAAAGAUGGGCUCGCGUCUGAUUAGAUAGUUGGUGGGGUAACGGCCUACCAAGUCUACGAUCAGUAGCCGGACUGAGAGGUUGAACGGCCACAUUGGGACUGAGAUACGGCCCAGACUCCUACGGGAGGCAGCAGUGGGGAAUAUUGCACAAUGGGGGAAACCCUGAUGCAGCAACGCCGCGUGAAGGAUGACGGUUUUCGGAUUGUAAACUUCUUUUCUUAGUGACGAAGACAGUGACGGUAGCUAAGGAAUAAGCAUCGGCUAACUACGUGCCAGCAGCCGCGGUAAUACGUAGGAUGCAAGCGUUAUCCGGAUUUACUGGGUGUAAAGGGAGCGCAGGCGGGACUGCAAGUUGGAUGUGAAAUACCGUGGCUUAACCACGGAACUGCAUCCAAAACUGUAGUUCUUGAGUGAAGUAGAGGCAAGCGGAAUUCCGAGUGUAGCGGUGAAAUGCGUAGAUAUUCGGAGGAACACCAGUGGCGAAGGCGGCUUGCUGGGCUUUAACUGACGCUGAGGCUCGAAAGUGUGGGGAGCAAACAGGAUUAGAUACCCUGGUAGUCCACACUGUAAACGAUGAUAGCUAGGUGUGGGGGGUCUGACCCCUUCCGUGCCGGAGUUAACGCAAUAAGCUAUCCACCUGGGGAGUACGACCGCAA
Molecule: ribosomal RNA, 856 nt
Filed under: uncultured bacterium
Lineage: Bacteria
Description: bacterial SSU rRNA
Rfam family: Bacterial small subunit ribosomal RNA
Source: RNAcentral